Molecule: long non-coding RNA, 1039 nt
Organism: Hippocampus zosterae (dwarf seahorse)
Lineage: Eukaryota; Metazoa; Chordata; Actinopteri; Syngnathiformes; Syngnathidae
Exons: 2
Source: RefSeq, a predicted model, not a curated record
GGGUCGUACCCAAAGCCUUGGUUGUUGAGCCGGGCCUUGUUGGGGACCCAAGAGGAGUACCAGCUGCUGUACUGGUCCUGAUGGGAGCAGCUGAUCUGGUUCGACGUCACCGAGCCGGACUCGAAGCCCAGAGCAUGGAAGCUAAAAAUCGCGUGACGUCACCUCACCCGGCAUGCAAGUCAGCGGUCGGCCUUGAGACGGCUCAGGCGGCGAGGUGGGCGUGGCAGUUUCGCGGAGGCCGGUGGGCGCCACGGCCUCGCAGUCGCACGUACACGCUUGCACGUUCCUGGCGGUCCACGUCUCCUGGAUCUGCUGAUCCUCCUCCUGCAGCUCCUCCUCCACCUGCAGGAUUUCCUCUUCCUGCGCCGACCAAAAACGGAAAACGGUUGGGAUUCAACUUUUAUAGUUUUGGAAGUCAGCAGGCGCCAGGGUACUUGCGGGUGGCGCAAAAGUGAUUGACUGAAGGUUUUUUUUUUUUUGCCACCCGGAAGUACGUGUGACGUGGUAGAAAAGUCUAAAAGACUCAAAGAGAUGUUUUUACCUCCUGAGAGUGAACAGCAGUCAGGGCUGUACCACAUCCAUGGAUGCAUGGAAUGUAAAAAGACAUUUAUAACUGUUUUAUAAACAAUAGUUAAACAUGUUUCAGUCUACAGUGGAACUGCCAAAAUCCAACGAACACGCAAAUGGAUCAGUUUGGAUGAUCUCAGGCUUUUCACCCCGAAGAUGAAGUAGAAGCCACUCAUCCUGUUCGAUUUCGGUCACGGGUCUUGAGACUUUUUCAUGCGCCCCUCUUAUGAUGGACAUUUUGAGGUGUUGGGACUUUAUUUUUAAAAAAAAUAAAUUUAGUCCUGGAUCUCACUCAAAACUGCUACAAACCAAAAUGGCUGACCUCCUGUUCAGUUUCGGGUAUAAUUCCAUGCGACUUUUUCACAUGCUCAGUUAUGCCAGACGUGUCCACCCAAAAUGAUGAACCGAAUAGUUUGUGUCGUCGCUUUCAGAGGUUCCACUGUGUAUUAUGCCUUAAUAAAAAUUACGAUUU